Molecule: ribosomal RNA, 128 nt
Filed under: uncultured bacterium
Lineage: Bacteria
Description: partial 16S ribosomal RNA
Rfam family: Bacterial small subunit ribosomal RNA
Source: RNAcentral
CCUACGGGAGGCAGCAGUGGGGAAUUUUGGACAAUGGGCGCAAGCCUGAUCUAGCCAUGCCGCGUGAGUGAUGAAGGCCCUAGGGUUGUAAAGCUCUUUCGCCAGGGACGAUAAUUAUCGUCCCUGGC